AGCGACGGCAAAGUGGCGGCUGAGGCCGAGGCACCUCGUGGGCUCGUGUCCAUGCCGGGCCGGAUGAAGGGAAAGGCCGGGGAGUGGGGAGCCGGAGGUGCCCUGAAAGCUCGAGGCGACCGACGGCGAAGGUUCCAGGGCUGAGCAGAAAGGGACCCUCUGCUCUCAUCCCGCACGCGCGCCCGCCCGCCCGCCGGGGAGAGCCGCCGCCGCCCGGCUCAGAGGGAUCCCGCCGGACCUGCCCCUUCCACUGCGGCUCACUCUGCCCUGCCUGGCGCCAGUCCUGGAUCGCCGGCUUCCUAUUUAUACCGGACUGGGCUCCUUUCGACUCACUUUACCAUCCUGUUCCAGGCUGGCGACUUCGCUGCUGAGCUGAAACUGCUAAUUUCUGUGACCAGCUUUUUUCUUAGCUGUGAUCUGGAUGAAUGAGUAGCUGUCUCACAGAGAUGACAAAAAUAAACUCUAAUCCCCCCCAAAAUUUCCACUACAUCUUUCUCAUGCAUAGAUUUAUGAUCUUCAAGCGCUCUGUGCAAUAUGCAAACUUUUUUUUGUGUCUGUAUAUAUGCUGUUGUUUCCAGAUUUCACUACAUUGGUAUGCUGCUUUCCCUUCCCCCCACACCCCCCAACACUAUGAAAUGCAGAAACAGUCUGAUCUCAAAGUGUGCUAAGAUACCACUUUAUUCUGUUUGGGUAUUUGGGGUUUGAGUCUGACUUGGAAGACAGUAGCCCUUGCCUUAAAGGUGAGUGGCUGAGGAAACACACCAGGGUGGGGGAAGUAGAGCCGGUAGAAUAGAGGACAGCCCUUUGCUUUACAUUUGCUUCUCAUAAAACAGUAUUCAAGCUUUAUGAUCUUAUUUGAAAACAUAUUUUCUCUAUCAUUUUGUCUGGUUAAACAACUGCCUCUGAACUUCUCUGUCAGCUUUUCGACAGAUAAGGUUGCAGAAGUCACAUUUUUUUAUUGAAAGAUUAUAAUAUUGUUGGAUUAGUAUUUCAAUUAGGAGUGUUUGAUUUGCAGAAGCUAGAAUCAAGUGCUAGGAAACCCGGCUGCAAUUCACAAAUGUAACCUUUCAACUUUGGAGCUCAUCUGAUAUAUAAGGGCAACCACAUCGUGCUCACAUUUUUGACCCUGCUUAGCAUGUAAAAGGAACCCCACAGCAUGUUUCUGGAAUUUUAGCUGUAGCAGAGAUUCAUGUGCAUUUUGGUAGAGGACAUGUUCUCCAGACUUAUCUCAUGAUGUAUUGCACCCUUACAUUUAUAGCCCUGCAUUUCAGUUGUCAAUGGGGGUUGGAGGUGUCCAAGAAAGAAAGAAAAAAAGAAGCAGAAAAAGAAAGAAAAGGAGGAGAGGAAACACAAGAAGUGCCUGACGCAGAGCUCCAGUUCCUACUUUGUGGGUAUAAAUGUUCAAGAUGCCAUAAAAUCGCCAUGGUCUUUAGCCAUGCACCAAUGGUGGUUUUGUGUGUUGGCUGCUCCACUGUCUUCUGUCCAGCCUACAGGAAAAAAAAAAAAAAAAGCAGGACAUGUUCCUGUAGGAGGAAGCAGCACUAAUAUCGUUCUGAAUCAAGAUAAAUGGAAAACCAUCCCAAUACACACGAUUGGACAUUAAAGACGAAGAAUAUUUAUUAGUAAUGAUGGUUUAAUAACAGGUUGCUGAAUAGAUUCAGGACUCUGAAAAGUCGCUUUUUGGUACUAGGCCUUCAUAACAAUGUCUGAGAUGAGAGAGGAUGUUGCACAUUGGCUUCUGUCUCUGACAUUACCUGUAACUCUAGACAAAUCACUUUUCUUUAUUCAGGUCUCAGUCUCCCAAAUGUGAAGAGAGAGAGAGAGCAUUUCCUUCAUUUAACUUCUGUAUAGGCUUGCAUUCAGGAGAAGUGAACUCAAUGUUCCCCCAAAGAAUAAUUGGGAACUCUCCUAGUGAUUUGCAGGAUAAAUUGAAGGUUAAACAGUAGAAUAAGGAAGAACAUAUUCUUCUCCCCCUGAAAACUUCCCAGAGGCUGGAGGUCAUAGGAAUGUACCCAGUCAUCUUUGUUGAAGUUGUCAGAUACAAGCAAGAAGUAAAACAUGUCAAUGUAUUUUGAGUGCAUUGGCAGAAAUUAUAUUACUUAUAUUCACAAAUUAUUUUAUAUGGAUGAAAAGUUUUCAAAGGAUUGGAGUUUGUGGGAAAGUAUUUGUUUGAUAUUUGAAUGCUCAUUUUAGAAGGGUAUGAAACUCUCCAUGAGGAAGACAAUCUAUCUUUAUCAUAAAGAGUUAUUAUCCAAAUUUGUAAAUUAUUAAAAUCACCUUCUCCACUCUCAAAUUUUUCUUUGAUUUGUGGCAAUAAUUUUGUUCUUUCUCUUACCAAUUUUUAAAAAGGAAUAUGUGUAUUGCUACAUUGGAAUAUUCAACAGCCCAUUGAAAGUUUUGUAGUUAAUGGAAAGACAUGAUCUAAAUUUUUCUGUCAAAUAUCUAUAUGCUUAUUAAUCACAUAUUAUUUUAUCUUUACAAGGAUAUAUCACCUUGAUUGCAGUGCUAGUCUCUCUACAGACAACCUGUUUAUAUCUUGAGGUCUUUAUUGAUUAUUGCUCUCUGCUUCUUUGAUAUUAGUGCAAAUCUCUCCAACUUUCCAUUUAAAAAAAUUAUCUGUUGUUCUGUUUAUUCUGUUCAUUACCAUAUCCUCCUUUAUGUUCUGUAUAUCUGUUUAUCACCAUAUCCUCUUUAUUCUUCCACUUCACUCCAGUAUACCCAAUCCUAUUACUGUGUCUAUUAUUUAUUUUAUAAUACUAUAUUUCAGAGUAUUCCAGUAAAGUUGUUGAAAUUGUUCUAAUUCUGAGUUAAUAUAGUAAUUGUUGAAAUAUUGUCUGGAAGUUUGAAUAAAUUUGGGGAGUUGAUUAAAGUGACAAAUAAUUCAAGAAUUCUGGUGAGUAUUUCUUUUUAGUUGUUUAAAUACAACCCAGUAGCUAAAGGAUAUAUUUUCUCCAAAUCAAAUAGUAAGAUGUAGCCACAGCUAAUACAACAUGAUAAAUCUGCACCAGAAUCUUUUUAUUUUGUCUUUACUUCUUAAUUGAGCUUAGAGCAAAACAUGGGUCAAGAUAAGGACUGAUUUAAGUCCUCUGUAAGGUUUUAAAUUCCAACUGCCAGAAUAUUUUGUUUUCUUUUAUUCCUUUUUAUGCAUAUUAAUUUCCUUGACUUUGUAACAGUAAUGUCAAAAGAAGUUAAAUACUUGCAGAGAGAAUUUCAAGAACACUGUUAUUGUGUAAGAUGCAGAUCUUUGCAGCUCUCAUCUUUGAGACAUGCUUUUAAUGAAACUGUCUCCACAAACCUGAAAUAUAUAUAUUAUUGGCACAAAAUUCUACAGAGUCUCUAAAAUGGGUAAAAAUUCUCAGUUGAAUCUUGUAUGUCCAUUUAAUGAUAUGUACUGUAGAUGUUUGGGAAAAACUGAAAUACAAUGAUUUAAUUAGGUAAUAUGGACAGUACUUAAUUUUGAAGGUGAAACUGUGUGUGUUUGUGUGUUCAUUUGUUGUUGUUGUUUCCCAAAAUUAGUAUUUGUCAGCUUGGGUAUCUGUCAGUAUGGAACUUCAUUUUUCAGAACUAUUAUUAGUAUAAACAUUUAUUAAGUUGUUUUCUAAGAUUCAGAGUAAUUUUAAAAUAAACAUUUAAAUUUUAGAACAUAUUUAGAUUUACAGGAAAAUUGGGAGGAUAAUACAGCAUUCUCAUAUGCCCAGUGCCCAGUUUUUCCUAACAUAUUAGUAUGAUGCAUUUGUUAUAACUAAUGGAUAAUAUUGAUUAAUCAUUAUUAGCUGAGUCAUUAUUUGCUGAAUGCAUAGAUUUAUUCAGAUUGCCUUAGUUUUUAUGCAACGUUCUUUUUCUGUUUUCAGGAUCCCAUCCAGGAGACCACAUUACAUUUAGUUGUUAUGUUUUCUUAGGUUCAUUUUGGCUGUACAUUUUCUCAGACUUUUCUUGUUUUUGAUCACCUUGAUUUUGAGAAGUGUUGGUUAGGUAAUUUGCAGAAUGAUCCUGAACUAGAAGUUGUCCAAUGUUCUCCUCAUGAUUAGACUGGGAUUAUGGUGGGUUUUGGGAGGAGGAACAUCAUAGUAAAGUCUCACUUCAUUACAUAAGAUUAGGGAUACUUGUGAUAAAUAUGAGUCAUCACUGCUGAUGUUAAACUUGUUCACCAAGCUGAUUUAGUGUUUGUCAUGUUUCUCCAUAAUAAGAUAUAAUUUUCUUUUUAUCACUCUUUCCAUAUUGUACUUCUUGGAAAAAAGUCACUAUGCACUCUUGAGUGGCGAACAACUUCUUCAGUUCCUUCUAAGUGGAGAAUUUACAUCAAUUACUUGGAAUUCCCCUGCAAGAAAAAUUUGUCCAUUCCUACCCCCACCUAUUUAAUUUAUUUAUAUUAACACAAACUCAUGGAUAUUUAUUUUAUACUUUGGGUUAUAAUCGAAUACUGCUUUAUUUUCCUCAUUAAACUAUUGCAGCUUUGAAAGGACAUGUAUUUCCUUCCUUCCUUCCUCUUUCUUUCUUUCACCUCUUUCUUUCUUUCAUCUUUCUUUCUGUCUUUCUUUCUUUCAUCUUUCUUUCUCUCCUUUUUUUCUUUCCCAGAAAUAUACCGCAGGCUCAUCUUGUAUAUUCUAUGCUCCUAUCUUAGAAUCAACCAUUUCUCAUUUCUUGAAGGAACACUGCUUCCUGUUACUGAAGAAUAGCAUUGGAAAUAAAGAUCUGGGCAUUGGGUCUGCUCAUUGCUACUGGGGUGUGGUUACUUUUAGAUACUCUGAGCUUUAAGAUCAAGGAAAUAUGUGUGUAUACAAACUCUAUGUGUCCACAUAUCUAUACAUGUUUAUAUAUGUGAAACCAUCUAUAUUUAAAUUAAGCUAAACAUGAGAUUAUACUUACGUCUCCAACCCUGAUGCAUUAUAGGCCAACUUUAUUUUAACUUAACCAGUUUAUAUGGGAAAGUCAUGAGAAGGAAGAACAGUGUCCCUACUUUGGGGCUGAUGAGCCCACAGACUACACUGAGCUCUCACAGGCUAUAAACAAGUACUGCAAUGAAGGAAUAAACCACAUCCUGCAGUAACAACUUUCAACUUUAUUAUUUACUAGGGUUACACUUCAGAUACUUUUAGUGUAACAUUCUGAAAAUAAAUACUUUGCAACUGAAGUCCAUUAUCUUCCAUAAGAUAAGAGAGGUGUCAGGAUCUUCUAAUCUUAGAAAAAGGUCUCAACACAGACCUACUGGGAGAAAUCUGUAAGAAAGGUAUCUCAGUCUAUGCUGAUUUUACUUUUAUAGGCCGUGGCUCUUGACAGCCAUUGAAAGUUUAUUUAAGAGGGAUGAUUGUAGCUACAGUUCCUCUAAUAGAUCACUGACCAGUGGGAGUAGGAGAAAAGAACAUAGGACCUAGAAUAGAAAGAAAAUGGACUUGAGGCUCACCUUCAUCAUUUAUUGGUAACAUGUGUGUCCCAGUGUCUUUAAACCUUAGUUUUUUCAUUAAGUGGAUAAUAUUAAUUCCUACAAAAUUUAUUUUAAGAAAUAGUGUAAAGAUUAAGAAAGCUGUGAAAUGUGAAAGUAAUUUGUGAAAUAAUAAGACAAUGCGAAAGAAUUAUUAUUUAUAUUAUCUUUAGUGGGAGGAGAUCAUACCCAUUAGGUGACUGGAGAUGCUAUAGCAUAGUGGGCAAGAAUGUGGACUUAAACUAUGCAAUUUACUAACUGUGUGAAAUAAGGCCAGAAAGACCCUUAAUUUCUCUGAGAUUCACUUCUCUUGAAGGUCAAAUGGGGUUCAUUUAUCCCACAAGUUCAUUGUAAGGAUUUGAUGGGAGAAUGCCCUGUACACGGAAAACACUCAAUGUUGGUUUAGUGAACCCUAAAUACUUGAUUCACAAGACAACUGAGAAAUAAAUCUACCCACAUGUUAAGUUUCCUUGGAUUUUAUUUAAUCAUCUGUGAGGUGAAAAGGGGAUUGUGUGGUUGCUGAUGUCCUUUCUCUCCAGCUCUAAAGUUCAUAUUCUGAACCUCUCUAUUUUCCUGAAAUACUGAUUAGUGCAUGGAAUAUGGGAUCCCAGUUCAUAACAGGGCCUAGGUAAAUUCCCUUGAAAUAAGUGGAGGGAUUGGGCCUCCCAACUUAGCUAUGAGAGGACACAGAAAAACUACACCACAGUUCAGUGAUUAGGCAAUUCUCCACUGGAAAGGCACUUCAUUCUCAUGGGCCCCCUCCAAGGCUCUAGGAGGAGCACUAGCUAUGUGUAAAAUUUGCAAAACUGAGAUUUUUUUACUGUAAUCAACUAAGAGUGCUAUUUUCACUCUGACUUCCCCUCAUGUCAGAUGGAUUUGGAGGGGUUGUGAAUACUUUGAGACAUAGCAAAAGGGAAGUUGAUUUGGGAAUCUGGUUUAGAUUGAUAUAGAAGGAUGCAUUUAUGUGGUUCACAAUUGCCUCCACCUACAGUUAAGUUGUUGCAAGCUGCCCUGAUAUAGGAAUGACUACCAGAAAUAUCCUGACUUCCCACUAUGCUGACUUACACAGCAUCAAGACAUGAAACUCUAGGGAAACUUUGGGAAGCUUAAAAAAAAAAUCUUUCCAAGCUAUUAAUAAAAAAAAUUAAAAAUUAAAAAAAAAUUUUUGAGACACAGUCUUUCUCUGUCACGUAGGCUGCAGUUUAGUGACGUGAUCACCACUAACUGCUGCCUUGAAUUCCCAGGCCUUAGAAAUCCUCCCACCUCGGCCUCCCAAGUAAUUGUGACAACAGGUGUCUGACACCAUACCUGGAUUUUUUUUUUUUUUUUUUUUUUUUUUGUGG
This is a non-coding RNA of Callithrix jacchus (white-tufted-ear marmoset), 6762 nucleotides long. Lineage: Eukaryota; Metazoa; Chordata; Mammalia; Primates; Cebidae. The record is from RefSeq and is a predicted model, not a curated record.